GCUUUGCAUGGAAUCAAUGGGAUCAAGUCAAGGCCAUAACAUCCAUGAAUGCCUUUUCCAUCUUUAACUCAUGGAAGGACAAAUGACAUCUAGGCAAGAGAUAAAGGUCCUUUCCAUCUUUAACUCGUGGAAGGACAAAUUACAUCUCGGCAAGAGAUAAAGGAAAAUCACUAUCUAUCCCCUUCCCGGUCCAGUUCAGCCCUCCAUAGAAAUUCUGAGAAGAAGCAGCGAAGAAACCUUCACGAAACCCACACGAAGAGAAAUACAGAGAGAGAGGAAGAGGGACAAUGGAGCCGCCCCAAUUUCAAGAGAUUAGCAGGAACGUUAAUGCUGUGGAGGAUAAGCAGGACAAAGCCACCAAUGAAUGUUGUUCCUGCUGUUACGACUGCACGGAGAGCUGCCUCGACUACUUGUUCUGUAACCUCUGUUAGGCGCAUCGGCGGAGUCCCCUUUGGAGGAUUAUUUUGGUCCGAGAUGGAAUCAUGUAGAGAGUGAUCUAAGGUCAAAAGAUGGGAACUAUACAGAGAGAAAAUUAGUACUGCUUUAUGCAUUUUUCGUUCCGGAAUGAUGUUUUUGUUCUCUGAUCUCCUUGUUAGAAAGACACUGAAUGAAACCAGUUAGUCUAAAUGAUCUAUAUUUGUGAAA
Non-coding RNA from Punica granatum (pomegranate), 645 nucleotides. The record is from RefSeq and is a predicted model, not a curated record. Lineage: Eukaryota; Viridiplantae; Streptophyta; Magnoliopsida; Myrtales; Lythraceae.